AGACGAACGCUGGCGGCGUGCUUAACACAUGCAAGUCGAACGCGAAAGGGACUUCGGGUCCUGAGUAAAGUGGCGCACGGGUGAGUAACGCGUAGAUAACCUGUCUUCAUGUCUGGAAUAAUACGCCGAAAGGGGUACUAAUACCGGAUAUUCUUGCUUUUCAUAAGUUAUGCAAGCAAAGGUGGCCUCUGCAUAUGCUACUGCAUGAAGAGGGGUCUGCGUACCAUUAGCUAGUAGGUGGGGUAAUGGCCUACCUAGGCGACGAUGGUUAGCGGGUCUGAGAGGAUGAUCCGCCACACUGGCACUGGAACACGGGCCAGACUCCUACGGGAGGCAGCAGUGAGGAAUAUUGCGCAAUGGGGGAAACCCUGACGCAGCGACGCCGCGUGAGUGAAGGAAGGCCUUCGGGUCGUAAAGCUCUGUCAAGAGGAAAGAAGUGUACAAUGGCUAAUACCUGUUGUAUUUGACGGUACCUCUAAAGGAAGCACCGGCUAACUCCGUGCCAGCAGCCGC
RNAcentral lists this ribosomal RNA (513 nucleotides) under uncultured bacterium. RNAcentral describes it as "bacterial SSU rRNA". It matches the Rfam family "Bacterial small subunit ribosomal RNA", at positions 28 to 518 of the family's 1533-position model. The record is from RNAcentral.